AUUUGGUGUUGAGGGCACUUGAUACAUAUUUUCUUGAAUCGCUCCCAAUAAUCGUAGAGAGACUUCCCCGGAUGCUGUGUAAUGCCGCAUAUUUCCUUUCUCAGACU
Molecule: small nucleolar RNA, 107 nt
Organism: Coffea eugenioides
Lineage: Eukaryota; Viridiplantae; Streptophyta; Magnoliopsida; Gentianales; Rubiaceae
Source: RefSeq, a predicted model, not a curated record